This is a long non-coding RNA of Phyllostomus discolor (pale spear-nosed bat), 919 nucleotides long. RefSeq lists it as uncharacterized. The record is from RefSeq and is a predicted model, not a curated record. NCBI's taxonomy places the organism in Eukaryota, Metazoa, Chordata, Mammalia, Chiroptera, Phyllostomidae. The transcript is spliced from 2 exons.
AACUAGGAAAAUUUAACAAAAUACAUACAUAUAAAACUUACAGUCUGAAAAUUACAAAACAGUGUUGAAAGAAAUAAAAGAUCUCCAUAAAUGGAGAAAUAUUCCAUCUUCAUGGAGCAAGACUUAGCAUUUUAAGACGGCAAUAGUUGCCAAAUGAAUAUUCAGCUCAGUCCUCAUCAGAAUCCAAGCUGACUUCUUUGUAGAAAUUGACACACUCAUUCUAAAAUUCAAAUGGAAGAGCUAUAACAACCCUAAUAAGAACAAAGUAGGAGGAUUCACAUUUCCUGAUUUCAAAACUACAAAGCAACAGUAACUAAGACAGUGUAAAGGUCUUACCACAAGAAAAAGAUGUUUUAAAAAAAGAUAAUGGAUGUUAAUCAAACUUACUGUGGUAAUCAUUUCACAAUAUAUGUAAAUGACAUCAUUUUGUGGUACAUCUAAAACUUAUAUACUGCUGUAUGUCAAUUAUAUCUCAAAACUAGUGGGGAAAAAACAAUGUGGCUCUGGCACAAGGAUAGACAUUAAAAUCAAUGAAAUAGAGUUGAGAAUACAGAAACAAACCCAUAUUAUCAACAGUGAGCUAAUUUUCUACAAGGGUGACAAAGCCAUCCAAAGGGGAAACAAUUUUCUUUUCUAUAAAUGGUGCUAAGGAAAGAACAGCCAUUACAAUAAUAAAUGGUGCUGAGACAACUGGACAUCCAUGUGCAGAAGAAUAAACUUGGACCCUUACCUCAUACCAUUUAUAAAAAUUAACAAUUUUUUAUCAAUUUCAAUUUUAAACAAUUUGAUCAAAAUAGAUCAGACCUAAAUGUCAGAGCUAAAACUUAAAAAUCUUCAAAACAGGCACAAAUCUGUGUGGCUAUAAUUUAGGCAAUGGUUUCUUAGAUGUGACACCUACAGUAUAAAUGACAAAAGAAAA